GUCUACGGCCAUACCACCCUGAAUGCGCCUGAUCUCCUCUGAUCUCGGAAGCUAAGCCGAGUCGGGCCUGGUUAGUACUUGGGAGAUAGUAAGGAGCAGAGCAGAGGGGGAGGACA
This 116-nucleotide ribosomal RNA is filed under the name Chinchilla lanigera (long-tailed chinchilla). Lineage: Eukaryota; Metazoa; Chordata; Mammalia; Rodentia; Chinchillidae. The record is from RNAcentral.